CCCACCUGAUCCCAUCCCGAACUCAGAAGUGAAACGAAACAGCGUCGAUGGUAGUGUGGGGUCUCCCCAUGUGAGAGUAGAACAUCGCCAGGC
This 93-nucleotide ribosomal RNA is filed under the name Vibrio cholerae. The record is from RNAcentral. Lineage: Bacteria; Pseudomonadati; Pseudomonadota; Gammaproteobacteria; Vibrionales; Vibrionaceae.